This 253-nucleotide ribosomal RNA is filed under the name uncultured bacterium. Its description in RNAcentral is "partial 16S ribosomal RNA". It matches the Rfam family "Bacterial small subunit ribosomal RNA", at positions 524 to 776 of the family's 1533-position model. The record is from RNAcentral.
UACGAAGGGGGCGAGCGUUAUUCGGAAUCACUGGGCGUAAAGGGCGCGUAGGCGGAUUGUUAAGUCGGGGGUGAAAUCCUGGAGCUCAACUCCAGAACUGCCUUCGAUACUGGCGAUCUCGAGUUCGGGAGAGGUGAGUGGAACUGCGAGUGUAGAGGUGAAAUUCGUAGAUAUUCGCAAGAACACCAGUGGCGAAGGCGGCUCACUGGCCCGGUACUGACGCUGAGGUGCGAAAGCGUGGGGAGCAAACAGG